This 468-nucleotide ribosomal RNA is filed under the name uncultured bacterium. RNAcentral describes it as "partial 16S ribosomal RNA". It matches the Rfam family "Bacterial small subunit ribosomal RNA", at positions 28 to 507 of the family's 1533-position model. The record is from RNAcentral.
GACGAACGCUGGCGGCGUGCUUAACACAUGCAAGUCGAACGGAAAGGCCCUGCUUUUGUGGGGUGCUCGAGUGGCGAACGGGUGAGUAACACGUGAGUAACCUGCCCUUUACUUUGGGAUAACUUCAGGAAACUGGGGCUAAUACCGGAUAGUAGCUCCUGCUGCAUGGUGGGGGUUGGAAAGUUUCGGCGGUUGGGGAUGGACUCGCGGCUUAUCAGCUUGUUGGUGGGGUAGUGGCUUACCAAGGCUUUGACGGGUAGCCGGCCUGAGAGGGUGACCGGCCACAUUGGGACUGAGAUACGGCCCAGACUCCUACGGGAGGCAGCAGUGGGGAAUAUUGCACAAUGGGCGGAAGCCUGAUGCAGCAACGCCGCGUGCGGGAUGACGGCCUUCGGGUUGUAAACCGCUUUCGCCUGUGACGAAGCGUGAGUGACGGUAAUGGGUAAAGAAGCACCGGCUAACUACGUG